Molecule: ribosomal RNA, 1343 nt
Filed under: uncultured bacterium
Lineage: Bacteria
Description: 16S ribosomal RNA
Rfam family: Bacterial small subunit ribosomal RNA
Source: RNAcentral
GACGAACGCUGGCGGCGUGCUUAACACAUGCAAGUCGAACGGAAAGGCCCUGCUUUUGUGGGGUGCUCGAGUGGCGAACGGGUGAGUAACACGUGAGUAACCUGCCCUUGACUUUGGGAUAACUUCAGGAAACUGGGGCUAAUACCGGAUAGGAGCUCCUGCUGCAUGGUGGGGGUUGGAAAGUUUCGGCGGUUGGGGAUGGACUCGCGGCUUAUCAGCUUGUUGGUGGGGUAGUGGCUUACCAAGGCUUUGACGGGUAGCCGGCCUGAGAGGGUGACCGGCCACAUUGGGACUGAGAUACGGCCCAGACUCCUACGGGAGGCAGCAGUGGGGAAUAUUGCACAAUGGGCGGAAGCCUGAUGCAGCAACGCUGCGUGCGGGAUGACGGCCUUCGGGUAGUAAACCGCUUUCGCCUGUGACGAAGCGUGAGUGACGGUAAUGGGUAAAGAAGCACCGGCUAACUACGUGCCAGCAGCCGCGGUGAUACGUAGGGUGCGAGCGUUGUCCGGAUUUAUUGGGCGUAAAGGGCUCGUAGGUGGUUGAUCGCGUCGGAAGUGUAAUCUUGGGGCUUAACCCUGAGCGUGCUUUCGAUACGGGUUGACUUGAGGAAGGUAGGGGAGAAUGGGAUUCCUGGUGGAGCGGUGGAAUGCGCAGAUAUCAGGAGGAACACCAGUGGCGAAGGCGGUUCUCUGGGCCUUUCCUGACGCUGAGGAGCGAAAGCGUGGGGAGCGAACAGGCUUAGAUACCCUGGUAGUCCACGCUGUAAACGGUGGGUACUAGGUGUGGGGUCCAUUCCACGGGUUCCGUGCCGUAGCUAACGCUUUAAGUACCCCGCCUGGGGAGUACGGCCGCAAGGCUAAAACUUAAAGGAAUUGACGGGGCCCCGCACAAGCGGCGGAGCAUGCGGAUUAAUUCGAUGCAACGCGUAGAACCUUACCUGGGUUUGACAUGGAUCGGGAGCGCUCAGAGAUGGGUGUGCCUCUUUUGGGGUCGGUUCACAGGUGGUGCAUGGCUGUCGUCAGCUCGUGUCGUGAGAUGUUGGGUUAAGUCCCGCAACGAGCGCAACCCUUGUUCACUGUUGCCAGCACGUUAUGGUGGGGACUCAGUGGAGACCGCCGGGGUCAACUCGGAGGAAGGUGGGGAUGACGUCAAGUCAUCAUGCCCCUUAUGUCCAGGGCUUCACGCAUGCUACAAUGGCUGGUACAGAGAGUGGCGAGCCUGUGAGGGUGAGCGAAUCUCGGAAAGCCGGUCUCAGUUCGGAUUGGGGUCUGCAACUCGACCUCAUGAAGUCGGAGUCGCUAGUAAUCGCAGAUCAGCAACGCUGCGGUGAAUACGUUCCCGGG